Molecule: long non-coding RNA, 1067 nt
Organism: Nelumbo nucifera (sacred lotus)
Lineage: Eukaryota; Viridiplantae; Streptophyta; Magnoliopsida; Proteales; Nelumbonaceae
Source: RefSeq, a predicted model, not a curated record
CCGUUAACUCCAAAAUGAGGCCAAAACCCAUUUUCACUAUUUCCUUUUCCGCCCUCGACCUCAAACCUGUACUCGUGUCUGAGAACCCCUUUGACCCCUGUUCUACUCCCUCCAUCCGAGCUUGGAUCCAACUGCUUCUCCGGCACCAACGAUCGCUCCAACCAUCUCACCGUCACGAGGCAGAGGAGGGGAAUUUAUUUAUCCACCAUCGGCCAUCUCCGAUGACCACCAGCAACAGUAAACAUGUGUGGCCGUGUGAUUCGAUGAGCUUGAUGGUCUGCUGAUAGUUCGAACUGGAGCUCCUGUACACAGGAGAUGUGGUUUCCCAUCAGAUGGAAGCACAAAGAGAUCAUAUGGGACCUGUAGAACUUUAUGCCCAUAUUCUCAUAAGCUCAAUGACCAGAUGACAAGAAGCAAAAGGGAGAGUUGUCGUAAUAAAGAGGGAGAAAAACACAAACCUUAAGAAAGAAAAACUCAAAAGAAUGAGUUCUCAAUUCACAUAUGGAAUUAGGUUUCAUAAUAACCUAAAGUAUAGUGUGAGAUAUUGCAAGUGUGGAGAAAAAUGUAUACUUCGUGUGUCAGAGACACCUGGUAAUCCUCAAAGGUUGUUUACAUUUGCCCUGGCAAACCCGCAAAUGAUACCAAAGAGGAAACUUAUUCCAAUAUCAAGUACUCCAAUUUAAAGCUUUGCAACUUUUUUGAAUGGGCAUUUCCUAUAAUUUAUUUAGAUGAAGCCACUUCAACCAGGAACAAUGCAGUAAAUAUAGGGAGACAUAUUGAAAAGCUAGAAAAGUUAGUUGUUGAAGGAUUGGAUGCUUUAAAGGCUUCACAAUAGUUCUUUAGCGAAGGACUGAAGACUAUGCAGAUUGUAUUUAUUAGUUUUGUAGUUGUGUUUAUAAUUAUCUUGUACCUGUACAAGAAUUAGUAUUUAGGUGAAAGAACUAAUUACUAUUAUUUAGAUACAAGAACUAAUAGCUCCUAAGUAUAACGAUAACUAUUGUAUUAUAUUUAUGGAUGUUAAAGUAGUUAUCCAUGUGCUAUAGCAAUACUAAAAUCUUUGGCAUUGA